AGUCUGGGCCCAAAUGUUUGCCUAUAUUGCAGUGAUCAAGCUCUGUCUCUUGAUUUCCUGUCUGCAGUACAGGGAUAAAGAAAGCAGAUGAUGAUGUGAGAUGGAGCCUCCCUUGGCCUGACCUUGGGAUUGCUGAAUAGCUCAUGACUGGCAAAAUCCUGGAUUGAGUUCAGUUGGAUUUUAUGAGGCAAUCUGUUGAAGUCCACAGAGAACUGAAUGCAAAGCAUGCCCUUGCCUCUUACACAAAGGCUUUCUUCUCUUCACAGUUUCAAGUGCCACCAAUGACUACUGGGAGCAGACCUCUCCUUCCACCAGCAAGAAGCCCACGACCAAGCUGAUGUGAGCAGUCAGAGCUGGAGAGUGGCCACGGACCGGCUGCAGGGCCCCAGCAGCCCUGGCUAUUUCUGGCUUUGUGACCGGCUGAGUGAGCACGAUUAGGUCGCUCACAGAGGCAGGGCCAAAAAGUUUUGCCAGCACAAAUCACCUGCAUUACAUCCCACGAGGGGCUUGCUGUGCCUUCACAGAGGAUUUG
Molecule: long non-coding RNA, 532 nt
Filed under: Anas platyrhynchos platyrhynchos (common mallard)
Lineage: Eukaryota; Metazoa; Chordata; Aves; Anseriformes; Anatidae
Description: lncRNA (ENSAPLG00000028284.1)
Source: RNAcentral